Molecule: ribosomal RNA, 717 nt
Filed under: Triticum aestivum (bread wheat)
Lineage: Eukaryota; Viridiplantae; Streptophyta; Magnoliopsida; Poales; Poaceae
Description: partial small subunit ribosomal RNA
Source: RNAcentral
AUGGAAAACAAGUUAGACAUAUUGGAUGGUGGUGGUGAUGAGACAGAGGUUAAGAUGGGCAGAGGCAAAUCUCUCAAAGAGAAACAAGUCAUGGUUCUGGAGACCCAGCAGCAGCCGAUGGAUGUGGCAAACAAGUUAGACAAAUUGGAUGGUGGUGCUAAUGAGCCAGAGGUUGAGAUGGAUGGACGCAAAUCCCUCUUGGUGGAACAGGUCGAGGAUAUGGCAAACAAGUCGCACAUAUCACUCUCGGAGGAAAGGGAAACCUGGAAGCAGCAGCAGUCUAUACUCUUUUCAAAGCUCGAAUCCUGUGUGCAGGUGCUCAAAGAGAUGAUGGAGGCAGGCAGAGGCGCGGUCAACUUCUACCCUGAGAUGCAGAUUGAAGAGUUGUCAGCAGUGUAUCACAGGACAAGUGAAGCAAUUCGUAACUUGCACUUUCUUUUAAAGAGUAUACCUAAUUGGGUGUGGGAUGAGGUGGAGGGGAAGCAAAUGGCCAAGGCAGGAAUGGAAGUCAGAGCGAAACCCUUCAUGGAGAAGCAGGUGAUUGGUCCAUUGCCUCGUGAGACGGAUAUGGAAGGGGGAUCCAGGAAGCAGCAGCAGUCUCAACUUCUUCCUUGUGGCCUUCAGAUUCAGAGUAAUGAUCAGUCUCUUGGCAGUAAGAAGGGGAAACACGGGGGUCGUAAGAAGGGGAAACAUGAGGGGCAUAAGAAGGGGAAAUAA